GAUGAACGCUGGCGGCGUGCCUAAUACAUGCAAGUCGAGCGAACAGAUAAGGAGCUUGCUCCUUUGACGUUAGCGGCGGACGGGUGAGUAACACGUGGGUAACCUACCUAUAAGACUGGAAUAACUCCGGGAAACCGGAGCUAAUGCCGGAUAACAUUUAGAACCGCAUGGUUCUAAAGUGAAAGAUGGUUUUGCUAUCACUUAUAGAUGGACCCGCGCCGCAUUAGCUAGUUGGUAAGGUAACGGCUUACCAAGGCAACGAUACGUAGCCGACCUGAGAGGGUGAUCGGCCACACUGGAACUGAGACACGGUCCAGACUCCUACGGGAGGCAGCAGUAGGGAAUCUUCCGCAAUGGGCGAAAGCCUGACGGAGCAACGCCGCGUGAGUGAUGAAGGUCUUCGGAUCGUAAAACUCUGUUAUUAGGGAAGAACAAAUGUGUAAGUAACUAUGCACGUCUUGACGGUACCUAAUCAGAAAGCCACGGCUAACUACGUG
This 497-nucleotide ribosomal RNA is filed under the name uncultured bacterium. RNAcentral's name for it is "partial 16S ribosomal RNA". It matches the Rfam family "Bacterial small subunit ribosomal RNA", at positions 28 to 507 of the family's 1533-position model. The record is from RNAcentral.